RNAcentral lists this ribosomal RNA (1060 nucleotides) under Halobellus sp. AV_13S27. RNAcentral describes it as "bacterial SSU rRNA". It matches the Rfam family "Archaeal small subunit ribosomal RNA", at positions 343 to 1409 of the family's 1478-position model. The record is from RNAcentral. Lineage: Archaea; Methanobacteriati; Methanobacteriota; Halobacteria; Halobacteriales; Haloferacaceae.
GAAACCUUUACACUGCACGCCAGUGCGAUAAGGGGACUCCGAGUGCGAGGCAUAUCGUCCUCGCUUUGUGUACCGUAGGGCGGUACACGAAUAGAGCUGGGCAAGACCGGUGCCAGCCGCCGCGGUAAUACCGGCAGCUCAAGUGAUGCCCAAUCUUAUUGGGCCUAAAGCGUCCGUAGCUGGCCUCGAAAGUCCGUCGGGAAAUCCACUGGCUCAACCAGUGGGCGUCCGGCGGAAACUUCGAGGCUUGGGACCGGAAGGCUCGAGAGGUACGUCCGGGGUAGGAGUGAAAUCCCGUAAUCCCGAACGGACCACCGAUGGCGAAAGCAUCUCGAGAAGACGGAUCCGACAGUGAGGGACGAAAGCUAGGGUCUCGAACCGGAUUAGAUACCCGGGUAGUCCUAGCCGUAAACGAUGUUCGCUAGGUGUGGCACAGGCUACGCGCCUGUGCUGUGCCGUAGGGAAGCCGAGAAGCGAACCGCCUGGGAAGUACGUCUGCAAGGAUGAAACUUAAAGGAAUUGGCGGGGGAGCACUACAACCGGAGGAGCCUGCGGUUUAAUUGGACUCAACGCCGGACAUCUCACCAGCUCCGACUACAGUAAUGACGGUCAGGUUGAUGACCUCAUCACGAGCUGUAGAGAGGAGGUGCAUGGCCGCCGUCAGCUCGUACCGUGAGGCGUCCUGUUAAGUCAGGCAACGAGCGAGACCCGCACUCCUAAUUGCCAGCAGCAGUUUCGACUGGCUGGGUACAUUAAGAGGACUGCCAGUGCCAAACUGGAGGAAGGAACGGGCAACGGUAGGUCAGUAUGCCCCGAAUGAGCUGGGCUACACGCGGGCUACAAUGGUCAAGACAAUGGGUCGCAACCUCGAAAGAGGGCGCUAAUCUCCGAAACUUGAUCGUAGUUCGGAUUGUGGGCUGAAACUCGCCCACAUGAAGCUGGAUUCGGUAGUAAUCGCAUUUCACAAGAAUGCGGUGAAUACGUCCCUGCUCCUUGCACACACCGCCCGUCAAAGCACCCGAGUGAGGUCCGGAUGAGGCUGUGUCACCACAGUCGAAUC